This 338-nucleotide ribosomal RNA is filed under the name Salmonella enterica subsp. enterica serovar Kentucky. RNAcentral describes it as "partial 23S ribosomal RNA". It matches the Rfam family "Bacterial large subunit ribosomal RNA", at positions 911 to 1247 of the family's 2925-position model. Lineage: Bacteria; Pseudomonadati; Pseudomonadota; Gammaproteobacteria; Enterobacterales; Enterobacteriaceae. The record is from RNAcentral.
UGUUUCGGCUAGGGGGCCAUCCCGGCUUACCAACCCGAUGCAAACUGCGAAUACCGGAGAAUGUUAUCACGGGAGACACACGGCGGGUGCUAACGUCCGUCGUGAAGAGGGAAACAACCCAGACCGCCAGCUAAGGUCCCAAAGUCAUGGUUAAGUGGGAAACGAUGUGGGAAGGCCCAGACAGCCAGGAUGUUGGCUUAGAAGCAGCCAUCAUUUAAAGAAAGCGUAAUAGCUCACUGGUCGAGUCGGCCUGCGCGGAAGAUGUAACGGGGCUAAACCAUGCACCGAAGCUGCGGCAGCGACACUGUGUGUUGUUGGGUAGGGGAGCGUUCUGUAAG